UGGGCUUAUAGGUUCAGAGAUUCAGUUCAUUAUCACCAUGGCAGCUUCCAGGCAGACACUGCUAUAGGAGCUAAGAUUUCUGCAUCUUGUUUGAACGCAAACAGGAAAAAACUGGCUUCCAGGCAGCAAGGAGAAGGGUCUCACAUUUCCUCCAACAAGGCCACAUGUCCUAAUAGUACCACUCCCUGAGGCAACCAUAUUCAAGCCCCUGGGGUGUAGUGGGACACACCUAUAAUCCUAACUGUCGGGAGGCGGAGGUAGGCGAAUCUGUGAGUUUGAGGCCAUCCUGUUCUACAGAGUGAAUUCCAGCACAGCCAGGGCCAUGAAGAAACAGUGUGUGUGUGUGUGUCUGUGUGUGUGUGUGUGUUGCAUGCAUUUAAGUGUGCAGGUGUGUGCAUCUUCUGUGUGCAUUCAGGCUGAGUGCGAGUGUGUAGUCACGAAGGACCAGAACGUGAGCUGAGGUGUCUGGCUCUAUCCUUGUCUCUCCUGUUCGCUUAAGACAGUCUCUCACUGAACUGAAGGCUGACUGACUGUCUAGGGAGCUGGGGUGAGCCUCUCUCCACCACACAACACUAGGGUUACACGAAGGUGCAGCCAGGCUGGGCUCUCCGUGGAUGUAGGGGAUUUUAGCUCAUGUUCCCAUGCUUGAACGUCAAGUGCUCUUACCCACAGAGCACCUCUCAGCUCCUGCUUUGGUUUUUAGGGUCUCACAUUCCAGGUUGGUCCCCAAAUCACUGUAGCAAAGAGUAAUGUUGAACUCGAGAUCCUCCUGUUUCUACUGGCCAGGACUGGUACUGCCAUGCCAGUUCACAGGGCUUUAGGCUUCCCAUUCAUUCAUUCAUUCAUUCACUAAGGGAGCAAGACAGAGACACAAGCUGUAACAUGGAUGAACCUUGAGAACACUGAGUGGAGGCAGCCAGGCACAAAAGGCCACUGCAGGAUUGUUUACAUGAAAUAUCCCAAGGAUGGAGUAGUUUUGGCUUGUCUGGCAGGGAGGAGGCAAUGGGACAUGACCAUGUAAUGGGGGCAGAGUUGCCCUUUGGGGGAUGCUGAGACUCUCAGGGAACUAGACAGAGAUGAUAGCAGCUUGACUUUGUGGUUGCACUAACUGCCCUGGCACUGUGGGAUUCCUUUCAUCUCUAGUUACAGAUAAGAACUCUGAGGUUCUGAUGACAGGCAACUGGGGAAGCUGCAUGGCUAACCUCAUAAGCCCCACCAUUUGCCUGUGACUUUAUUUAACUUUUGUGGUAGCGGGGAUUGAACCUAGCACUUCUCUCAUGCUGGGAAAAUUCUAUACCCAGUCACUCUCUUCUUUUACUUUGUGUGUGUGUGUGUUUCUUUGAGACAGAGUCUCCUGUAGUCUAGGCUGACCUGGAAAUUAUAUUCAGGGCUGACCUUAAACUUCAACUCCUGAAAAAAAAUUAAGCCCUGAGCAUUUUAUCCUUGGCUAACCCUGCUAAUUCCUCCUGCCUGCCCCACUCCUCAGAGGGCAGCUACUUGGGGUUCCCUGUUGCUCCAUCUCUUCCAUUUCUUCAGAGAAACAGCUUGAGAGCUCCGUUUAAUCCAGUCACUGACUAUGCAUGACAUGGCUGGUCACCAGGCAGAGUGACAGACCCUGAAGCAAGCAGCUGCUCUCUGAAUGGAUUGGUGCAGAGCCUGCAGGGCUAGAUGGGCACAGCCUCCCCACCUCCACACCGACUUGCAUGCAAAGGAUCCAGAGAGAUGGUCUGUGAAGAACAUUUCUGUAAGGACACAUGCUGUCCAAGAUACCAGCAAAUCAGAGUGACUGGCAUUUUCGGCUGUAGCAAACGUGGCUCAGUGGUGAAGAACAUGGACUUUGAGGCCAGAGUCCUGAUGACAUUUACCUUGGUGGCUUGGCAGGAGCUGAUGGUUGUGAGCCUACUGCAGAGUCCACACCUGGUCCUGGGGAGAAAGAAGCCAUUGAAGCCUCGCCAGCCUCGUGGUCACGGGCAAAAGACAAUGUUCGCAUGAGCUGCUGGGCAGAAGAAGAGAUUUGGCCACGUGGCCAGGAGGAUCACAAGUCCAUGGCCAGCCUGGGCACCUCAUUGAGAGGAGACGCUGUUUGAAGAAAAGCUCUUCCAGGGCCCCUGGCUGUCUAUGGGAAGGAUCGCUGCGGAAGGCCGCGCAGGAAGCGUCGGCAGAUUCUAAGGACGGCAGAUAUUGCUGAACUGAGCUUUUAAGAGGCAGAGAGUCAGGGAGGGCCUUGUCUUUCCUGACUCUGCCCCAUAACUUGACCCUGUUCCAUCAGACAAGAGCAGUUCUGGAUCAGAGCUUUUGACUGUGGGAUGGCAACCCCAUCCCUCCACUUGGGGUAUAGAACUAAACAGAAUUCGCAACA
Molecule: long non-coding RNA, 2359 nt
Organism: Mus musculus (house mouse)
Lineage: Eukaryota; Metazoa; Chordata; Mammalia; Rodentia; Muridae
Product: predicted gene, 31479
Exons: 5
Source: RefSeq, a predicted model, not a curated record